Molecule: ribosomal RNA, 495 nt
Filed under: uncultured bacterium
Lineage: Bacteria
Description: partial 16S ribosomal RNA
Rfam family: Bacterial small subunit ribosomal RNA
Source: RNAcentral
GACGAACGCUGGCGGCGUGCCUAAUACAUGCAAGUAGAACGCUGAAGGAGGAGCUUGCUUCUCUGGAUGAGCUGCGAACGGGUGAGUAACGCGUAGGUAACCUGCCUGGUAGCGGGGGAUAACUAUUGGAAACGAUAGCUAAUACCGCAUAAUAUUGACUAUUGCAUGAUAGUCAGUUGAAAGGUGCAACUGCACCACUACCAGAUGGACCUGCGUUGUAUUAGCUAGUUGGUGGGGUAACGGCUCACCAAGGCGACGAUACAUAGCCGACCUGAGAGGGUGAUCGGCCACACUGGGACUGAGACACGGCCCAGACUCCUACGGGAGGCAGCAGUAGGGAAUCUUCGGCAAUGGACGGAAGUCUGACCGAGCAACGCCGCGUGAGUGAAGAAGGUUUUCGGAUCGUAAAGCUCGGUUGUAAGAGAAGAACGAGUGUGAGAGUGGAAAGCUCACACUGUGACGGUAUCUUACCAGAAAGGGACGGCUAACUACGUG